AAUCUUUCGCAAUGGGGGAAACCCUGAUCCAGCCAUCCCGCGUGUAUGAUGAAGGCCUUCGGGUUGUAAAAUAUUUUUUGCAGUGAAGAAAAGGUACCUCCUAAUACGAGGUACUGCUGACGUUAAUUGAAGAGUAAGGACCAGCUAACUACUUGCACGCAGCCGCGGUAAUACGUAGGGUGCAAGCGUUAAUCGGAAUUUCUGGGCGUAAAGCGUGUGUAGGCGGUUCGGAAAGCAAGAUGGGAAAUCCCAGGGCUCAACCUUGGAACUGCAUUUUUAACUGCCGAGCUAGAGUAUGUCAGAAGGGGGUAGAAUUCCACGUGUAGCAGUGAAAUGCGUAGAUAUGUGGAGGAAUACCGAUGGCGAAGGCAGCCCCCUGGGAUAAUACUGACGCUCAGACACGAAAGCGUGGGGAGCAAACAG
This 423-nucleotide ribosomal RNA is filed under the name uncultured bacterium. RNAcentral describes it as "partial 16S ribosomal RNA". It matches the Rfam family "Bacterial small subunit ribosomal RNA", at positions 360 to 775 of the family's 1533-position model. The record is from RNAcentral.